Long non-coding RNA from Phascolarctos cinereus (koala), 391 nucleotides. RefSeq lists it as uncharacterized. Lineage: Eukaryota; Metazoa; Chordata; Mammalia; Diprotodontia; Phascolarctidae. The record is from RefSeq and is a predicted model, not a curated record.
GGUACUGGGGCAAGUGUGUGGUGAUGGGCUGCAGGAUGUAGACCGGAGGGACUGCAUUUUCAUCCUUCCAGAACCACUGGGCCAGGAGGUUUAGUUUUGUCCCCACCUCUCCACUGGGGUUCCUGCCAGCAGCAAUGCCUAGCCAGUUCCCUGAGCCCUAGACAAGGGUGGAACUCAAUCUGUGAGGAGAUUGGCCAUUAUUGUGAUAAGGGUCAACCAGGCCUGAAGAGCCGUGCAGCAGAAGAUAAAGAACCAAGGUACUAAGAAGUCAAGUGAUUUGCCCAAGAACACACAAAUAAUAAACAUCGGGGAUAAGAACUGAACUCAGGUCCUCUAAUUCUAGAGCCAUUGAUCUUUCCACUGUAUCACACUAUUACUUUGGGUAUUAUAU